AGACGUACAGAAAAAUUGGCAA
This 22-nucleotide non-coding RNA is filed under the name Arabidopsis thaliana (thale cress). The record is from RNAcentral. Lineage: Eukaryota; Viridiplantae; Streptophyta; Magnoliopsida; Brassicales; Brassicaceae.